RNAcentral lists this ribosomal RNA (245 nucleotides) under uncultured bacterium. Its description in RNAcentral is "partial 16S ribosomal RNA". It matches the Rfam family "Bacterial small subunit ribosomal RNA", at positions 91 to 334 of the family's 1533-position model. The record is from RNAcentral.
CGGACCGGCGAACGGGUGAGUAACGCGUGAGUAACCUGCCCUGGAGUGGGGGACAACAGUUGGAAACGACUGCUAAUACCGCAUAAGCCCACGAUCCGGCAUCGGAUUGAGGGAAAAGGAUUUAUUCGCUUCAGGAUGGACUCGCGUCCAAUUAGCUAGUUGGUGAGGUAACGGCCCACCAAGGCGACGAUUGGUAGCCGGACUGAGAGGUUGAACGGCCACAUUGGGACUGAGACACGGCCCAG